AACGAACGCUGGCGGCAUGCCUAACACAUGCAAGUCGAACGAGACCUCCGGGUCUAGUGGCGCACGGGUGCGUACCGCGUGGGAACCUGCCCUUAGGUUCGGAAUACCUCCCGAAAGGGGUGCUUAUACCGGAUAAUGUUUUCGGACCAAAGAUUUAUCGCCUUUGGAUGGGCCCGCGUUGGAUUAGCUCGUUGGUAGGGUAAAAGCCUACCAAGGCGCCGAUCCAUAGCUGGUCUGAGAGGAUGAUCAGCCACACUGGGACUGAGACACGGCCCAGACUCCUACGGAAGGCAGCAGUAGGGAAUAUUGGACGAUGGGCGAAAGCCUGAUCCAGCAAUGCCGGGUGAGUGAUGAAUGCCUUAGGGUUGUAAAGCUCUUUUACCCGAGAUGAUAAUGACAGUACCGGGAGAAUAAGCUCCGGCUAACUCCGUG
Molecule: ribosomal RNA, 432 nt
Filed under: uncultured bacterium
Lineage: Bacteria
Description: partial 16S ribosomal RNA
Rfam family: Bacterial small subunit ribosomal RNA
Source: RNAcentral